AGCGAACGCUGGCGGCAGGCCUAACACAUGCAAGUCGAACGGAUCCUUCGGGAUUAGUGGCGGACGGGUGAGUAACACGUGGGAACGUGCCCUUUGGUUCGGAACAACUCAGGGAAACUUGAGCUAAUACCGGAUGUGCCCUUCGGGGGAAAGAUUUAUCGCCAUUGGAGCGGCCCGCGUCUGAUUAGCUAGUUGGUGAGGUAACGGCCCACCAAGGCGACGAUCAGUAGCUGGUCUGAGAGGAUGAUCAGCCACACCGGGACUGAGACACGGCCCAGACUCCUACGGGAGGCAGCAGUGGGGAAUCUUGCGCAAUGGGCGAAAGCCUGACGCAGCCAUGCCGCGUGAAUGAUGAAGGUCUUAGGAUUGUAAAAUUCUUUCAGCGGGGACGAUAAUGACGGUACCCGCAGAAGAAGCUCCGGCUAACUUCGUG
RNAcentral lists this ribosomal RNA (433 nucleotides) under uncultured bacterium. Its description in RNAcentral is "partial 16S ribosomal RNA". It matches the Rfam family "Bacterial small subunit ribosomal RNA", at positions 29 to 507 of the family's 1533-position model. The record is from RNAcentral.